UACGUAGGUGGCGAGCGUUGUCCGGAUUUACUGGGUGUAAAGGGCGUGUAGGCGGGGAAACAAGUCAGAUGUGAAAUCCCGGGGCUUAACUCCGGAGCUGCAUCUGAAACUGUUUUUCUUGAGUGCUGGAGAGGAAAGUGGAAUUCCCAGUGUAGCGGUGAAAUGCGUAGAGAUUGGGAGGAACGCCAGUGGCGAAGGCGGCUUUCUGGACAGUAACUGACGCUGAGUCGCGAAAGCGUAGGGAGCAAACAGG
This 253-nucleotide ribosomal RNA is filed under the name uncultured bacterium. RNAcentral describes it as "partial 16S ribosomal RNA". It matches the Rfam family "Bacterial small subunit ribosomal RNA", at positions 524 to 776 of the family's 1533-position model. The record is from RNAcentral.